ACAGGGAUUGCCCUAGUAACGGCGAGUGAAGCGGCAACAGCUCAAAUUUGAAAUCUGGCGUCUUCGGCGUCCGAGUUGUAAUUUGCAGAGGGCGCUUUGGCAUUGGCAGCGGUCCAAGUUCCUUGGAACAGGACGUCACAGAGGGUGAGAAUCCCGUACGUGGUCGCUAGCCUUUACCGUGUAAAGCCCCUUCGACGAGUCGAGUUGUUUGGGAAUGCAGCUCUAAAUGGGAGGUAAAUUUCUUCUAAAGCUAAAUACUGGCCAGAGACCGAUAGCGCACAAGUAGAGUGAUCGAAAGAUGAAAAGCACUUUGGAAAGAGAGUUAAAAAGCACGUGAAAUUGUUGAAAGGGAAGCGCUUGCAGCCAGACUUGCCUGUAGUUGCUCAUCCGGGUUUCUACCCGGUGCACUCUUCUAUAGGCAGGCCAGCAUCAGUUUGGGCGGUUGGAUAAAGGUCUCUGUCAUGUACCUCCUCUCGGGGAGAACUUAUAGGGGAGACGACAUGCAACCAGCCUGGACUGAGGUCCGCGCAUCUGCUAGGAUGCUGGCGUAAUGGCUGUAAGCGGCCCGUCUUGAAACACGGACCAAGGAGUCUAACAUCUAUGCGAGUGUUUGGGUGUCAAGCCCGAGCGCGUAAUGAAAGUGAACGGAGGUGGGAACCUUUCGGGGUGCACCAUCGACCGAUCCUGAUGUCUUCGGAUGGAUUUGAGUAAGAGCAUAGCUGUUGGGACCCGAAAGAUGGUGAACUAUGCUUGAAUAGGGUGAAGCCAGAGGAAACUCUGGUGGAGGCUCGCAGCGGUUCUGACGUGCAAAUCGAUCGUCAAAUUUGGGCAUAGGGGCGAAAGACUAAUCGAACUAUCUAGUAGCUGGUUCCUGCCGAAGUUUCCCUCAGGAUAGCAGUAACGUUUUCAGUUUUAUGAGGUAAAGCGAAUGAUUAGAGGCCUGGGGGUUGAAACAACCUU
RNAcentral lists this ribosomal RNA (960 nucleotides) under Epicoccum draconis. RNAcentral describes it as "partial large subunit ribosomal RNA". It matches the Rfam family "Eukaryotic large subunit ribosomal RNA", at positions 68 to 1048 of the family's 3401-position model. The record is from RNAcentral. Lineage: Eukaryota; Fungi; Ascomycota; Dothideomycetes; Pleosporales; Didymellaceae.